Molecule: ribosomal RNA, 342 nt
Filed under: Triticum aestivum (bread wheat)
Lineage: Eukaryota; Viridiplantae; Streptophyta; Magnoliopsida; Poales; Poaceae
Description: partial small subunit ribosomal RNA
Source: RNAcentral
AUGAGGACUUGCAACAUCCUCCUUGUUGUCCUUGCUGCUCUCACCAUUGUUUACCCUGCCACGUCCGCCGGGCAAUAUUGGUCUCCUAUUGAGAAUGUCAAUGAACCACAUGUCCAGGACAUCGGUAGGUGGACAGUGGUGGAGCAUGUCAAGCAGGUGCAUGACGGGCUCAAGUUUAGCAAGGUAACAGGGGGAGGGGAACAAAAUGUGGCCGGUGUCAAAUAUCACCUCGUUGUCGACACAGUUAAUCACGAUGACAAACAUGGAAGAUACGAGGUGGUGUUGAUCAAGGACAACACAAGCAACAUGCGUCGCAUCAUCUCCUUUAGCCCGACAAGCUAA